Molecule: ribosomal RNA, 563 nt
Filed under: uncultured Gammaproteobacteria bacterium
Lineage: Bacteria; Pseudomonadati; Pseudomonadota; Gammaproteobacteria
Description: bacterial SSU rRNA
Rfam family: Bacterial small subunit ribosomal RNA
Source: RNAcentral
GAGUUUGAUCAUGGCUCAGAUUGAACGCUGGCGGCAGGCCUAACACAUGCAAGUCGAACGGUAACAGCAGAGCUUGCUCUGGCUGACGAGUGGCGGACGGGUGAGUAACGCGUAGGAAUCUACCCAGUGGUGGGGGACAACUCGGGGAAACUCGAGCUAAUACCGCAUACGCCCUACGGGGGAAAGCGGGGGAUCUUCGGACCUCGCGCCAUUGGAUGAGCCUGCGUUGGAUUAGCUUGUUGGUGAGGUAAAAGCUCACCAAGGCGACGAUCCAUAGCUGGUCUGAGAGGAUGAUCAGCCACACUGGAACUGAGACACGGUCCAGACUCCUACGGGAGGCAGCAGUGGGGAAUAUUGCGCAAUGGGGGGAAACCCUGACGCAGCCAUGCCGCGUGUGUGAAGAAGGCUUUCGGGUUGUAAAGCACUUUCAGUAGGGAGGAAAGGCAUAAGGCUAAUACCCUUAUGAUUGGACGUUACCUACCGAAAGAAAGCACCGGCUAACUCCGUGCCAGCAAGCCGCGGUAAUACACGGAAGGGUGCAAGCCGUUAUCGGAAAUUACUGG